AAAACAUGUCUUUUUGUAUAUAAAUAUAAAGUCUAGCCUGCCCACUGAUUAAUUAAAUGGCCGCAGUAUCCUAACUGUGCAAAGGUAGCAUAAUCAUUAGUCUUUUAAUUGAAGGCUGGUAUGAAUGGUUGGACGAAAUAUUAACUGUUUCAUAUAAAUUGAUAGAAUUUUAUUUUUUAGUGAAAAAGCUAAAAUUUUUUUAAUAGACGAGAAGACCCUAUAAAGCUUAAUAUUCAAUAAAUUUAAAAACAAAAAGAUAAAUUAUUUUUUAAAUUUUCAGAAUAUUUUAUUGGGGUGAUAGUAAAAUUUAUUAAACUUUUACUUUAUAAUUUCAUAGAUUUAUGAAUUAUUGAUCCACUUAUUGUGAUUAAAAAUUUAAGUUACUUUAGGGAUAACAGCGUAAUCUUUUUGGAGAGUUCAUAUCGAUAAAAAGGAUUGCGACCUCGAUGUUGGACUAAGGUAUAGCUUAGGCGCAGCAGCUUAAGAAUUAAGUCUGUUCGACUUUUAAUUUC
RNAcentral lists this ribosomal RNA (512 nucleotides) under Sepedon spinipes. Its description in RNAcentral is "partial 16S ribosomal RNA". It matches the Rfam family "Bacterial large subunit ribosomal RNA", at positions 1810 to 2595 of the family's 2925-position model. The record is from RNAcentral. Lineage: Eukaryota; Metazoa; Arthropoda; Insecta; Diptera; Sciomyzidae.